Molecule: unclassified non-coding RNA, 229 nt
Filed under: uncultured fungus
Lineage: Eukaryota; Fungi
Description: partial contains 18S rRNA, ITS1, 5.8S rRNA, ITS2 and 28S rRNA
Source: RNAcentral
AAGGAUCAUUAACGAAUAUGGCGCAAGCCAAUUCUACCCUUCUACCGUGCUUUAAUCCAGUAUUUCGGCAGCUUGCUCUUUCUGUAAAAUUUCGGUUUAACGGUCAGAGUCCCUUAUGAGUAAAAUUGUUUGGGAGCCGGCUGCCGGUGGUUUUUAUACACAUUUUAUUAAUUGUCUGAAACAAAAAACUUAAACGUUAAAACUAUGAACAACGGAUCUCUAGGCUCUU